AUUGAACGCUGGCGGCAUGCCUUACACAUGCAAGUCGAACGGCAGCGCGGACUUCGGUCUGGCGGCGAGUGGCGAACGGGUGAGUAAUGUAUCGGAACGUACCAUUCAGUGGGGGAUAACGCAGCGAAAGUUGCGCUAAUACCGCAUAUUCUGUGCGCAGGAAAGCAGGGGAUCGCAAGACCUUGCGCUGAUUGAGCGGCCGAUAUCAGAUUAGCUAGUUGGUGAGGUAAAGGCUCACCAAGGCGACGAUCUGUAGCGGGUCUGAGAGGAUGAUCCGCCACACUGGAACUGAGACACAGUCCAGACUCCUACGGGAGGCAGCAGUGGGGAAUUUUGGACAAUGGGCGCAAGCCUGAUCCAGCCAUGCCGCGUGAGUGAAGAAGGCCUCGGUGU
RNAcentral lists this ribosomal RNA (393 nucleotides) under uncultured bacterium. RNAcentral's name for it is "bacterial SSU rRNA". It matches the Rfam family "Bacterial small subunit ribosomal RNA", at positions 30 to 423 of the family's 1533-position model. The record is from RNAcentral.